AUAGUUCCGUACAUCAUCUGUUCUGCUGUAAUAAUCUGAAAUACAGUAAGGUGGUGUGGACAAAUGGUAACAAUGAAAGUGAAUGAAUUUGUAAAUGUUUAUGGUUUCUCCAAAUAUUGGUGCCACAAAUUCCAGUGAAUUUCAUGUGAAAUAAAUUAUUGGUAUGUGGACUAAUAAACUGCUUUAUAUGAGGAGUUCUACAAAGACCAAGAUUUGGAAUGUGAUCUUUGGAGGAAGUUGUCUGAUCUUUUUUACUACUCUGGGCAAGUUUGUAUGAAUGAAAUGAAGGAAUGCUAGAGGGAGCCAGCCAGUGAGGUGGAUACUUGCUCUCAGUGGGUGAGUACUGGGGGAGAGGUGACAGGGAAGGCUCUCACCACACUAUAUUACAACAGAACAAGUAGAGAUGAAUAGGCAAGAUGCAAGCACGAAGGCACAGCUUCAGAGAACAAUACGAGGGACCCAUCAGGUCCAUAAGCCUUCUGAGGGCAGCAAGGUUAUGGAAAGCAUCACUGCGAAGGAUCUUAAUGAGUAGCAUGAAGUAGUUGGAGGGUAGAGGAGAGAGAGGAACAAGCCCUGGAUCUUAAUGGGUAGCAUGAAGUAAUUGCUGCUGUUGCUCUUUUGGCCAAUCAAAGUGUUUCCCACCUCUGGUCUCAUCUCGAGUACCAGCUCACUCCUUCCUGAUUUCAGUGCUGCCAAUGCCCAUCUUCACUACCCAUGACACAGUGCUGCUAACGGCAUCCCCCCUUCGUAACGUAGUUUUAGGAACAUGAGCAUGUUGAAGUUGUUAACUUUCAAAAUCAAAUGUAGUUAUUUUAAUUAAAACAGUACUUUUCAUUAGUGAAGAGACAGGAUAAACAUUGAAUUUCAAUUUUUUGAAGAUGUUUCUAAGUUUUCUAAGAUCAAGAUAAAAGUAAAGGCUUGGAUUUUUCUUUUUUUUACUUAAAAUAUCAAUAUUGUUAUCACUACUAUCAGAAUUUUGGAUUUAUAGAUUUAUUGGUUAUCAGUUAUUGGCGAUAAAUUUAUCACCAGUUACUGAAUUAUCAGUUAUCACCGAUAACAUUAUCAUCAUUGUUUUAUUAUUUAUUGUGAUAAAUUUUUUAUUAUCAUUGCCAGCUAUGCAAUUGAGUGAUUGCUUUAUAGGGUUUACCACUGUUUCUUUAUAGCAGAUAUAUAGUACUGUGCCUUCACUUGAUGAUAUGGAUAAUGCAAACUUGAAAAGUCAGUAAACAAGUAAUGUAAUGAAGGUUGGGAACCAAUGGUUUAGGACAAAAGAAAGAGUGAGGAUUGUAUGUCUCCAUAGCACAUACUAUCACCUUUGUUAUGCGCUCAGCACACAGAGAUGGGUACCCUAUGACACAGAAACAGUAGUCAUUCCAAGGCAAAUCAGCAUAAUACCUACUUGGCUCCAGUAGGCACAAAAUGACAAAGGCACCUCCACUUUGGGGAAUCCUGGGGAUGGAUUGGAAGGAUAGGACAAGAUGCAGAUACGAGGUUGUGAUUGGAGGAGCCCAAUGGAGAUGAUAGGAUGAUAGCAUAAGCAGAAGGGUUAGAGGUGAGAAAAAGGUCAAGAAUGUUGGGCAUAUCUCUAAGACAAUCAAGAAUACAAGUAGAGUGUUGUACCAGUUGCUCUAGGUCAUGGAGGAUAGCAGAGUUAAAGGCUAGUUCACCAGGAUGGUCAGUGAAGGGAGAGGAAAGGCAAAAUUAGUAAUGAACAUUGAAGUCUCCAAGAAUGGAGAUCUCUACAAAAGGGAAGAGAUUCAGAACGUGCUCACCUUAGAAGUUAAGUAGUCAAAGAAUUUUUAUAGGAAGAGGAGUUACUUGUAGGUGAGAGGUAUACAGCACAGAUAAAUUUUGUUUUAGAGUGACUGUAGUCAUAGCCAGACGGUGAAAAAUCCAGAAGAUUCAAGAGUGUGGGUAUAAGAGCAAGUUAAGUUGUUGUACACAUAGUUGCAACAUCUAGCUUUGGACAGAAAAUGAUAGAGAAAGUAGGGGGGAACAAAGAAGGGGGUACUGUCAGUUGCCUCAGACACCUGUGUUUUUGGGAGGAAAAGAUGAAGUUUAGUAGAGAGGUUGUGUUCUACAGAUUGAAAAGAAGAUGUAAGGCCACAAAUGUUGCAGAAGUUAUUGAAGAAAAAGUUGAGGGUGGUGUCAAGACACUCACCAGAAGAGCAGUCUGAUCUGGGGACAUUUGUCCUGGGGACUCCGAGGCUGGUGUAGGAGUCGCCAUGAUAAUUUUGAAUUUUGAGUGAAGGGUGUGCAUGUAUUAGGUGCAUGUAGAGUUGUGUGAAAGAACAGAAUUUUUAAAAGGCAGGUUGUGAAAUGUUCAGUGAGGUCGCAGCUGGCUGUUCCAUCUCUUUUGUCUUUCCUUUUUGGAACAGCUUUGUGGUGUGAAGGGAUAGAGUAAAGAUAAAAAGAUUUGCCCAUCUGUAUACCAGGCCAAAAAUGUGACACAGGAUGGCCUAAACAAAGCUCCACACACUCAUGCACACAUCAUUCACACUCUUAACCCUGUUGGUCUCUGGAAGAAAGACCAGAGUAAAAAAGAUAAAUGAAUGAAAAGCAAUAGUUGUUAGUGCGGUGAUGGUCAGAAGUCAAGCUUCCUGUGCCUUGACAUUUCCUUCAGUCUGGAGUUGUCUGAUCUGCUCACAGUCUCCUCACAAAGUCUGGGAAUAGAUUGGUCCUUAGACUUGAGACUAGAGGAAAACACAUAAUCAGGAAAGUGAGUGCAAGAGUACACUCGGCUAAUGACCUCAACUGUACAAAGAUGACCAGUGUGCAGGACUCUCUUGUCAUCACACAGCCUCUGCUCACACUGGCUGCCUGUGGGACUGCUGCCUCAUUUACAAAGACCCACUAUAUUUGAUUUUUGACCUCUUGUUUUGUUUUAUUUUAUUUAUUUAAUUUAUUGGGUUUGUUAGUGUGUCUGUUGCUAGUAGUUCCUUUUAUGGUUAUUUGAUUGAUUUUCUUCUCCUGACCUCUGCUUUUCCUUAUUAUUUCAUGGUUCCAUUUAGAUUUGCAGUUAUAGGAGUAUUAUUUGUAACAAUAAUGGUGAUAAUAAAAAUAGUUAUGAUAGAGAGUCCCAAUUAAUGACCAUAACAAGCUCUCUGUUAUAAAUAUUUCUUGCCAUUAAUAAAAAAAAUAAAGUGUGCAUUAUUUUUUGUUUGUUAUUCAUAAUUGCAUUGAAACUAGGACACAAAGAAUGUACACCAGCAUGCACACAAAUGCUCACAGUGAGUGAGUGAGUGAGUGAGUCAUUCAGUCAGUCAGUGUUUGAUGCAGUACCACCAAAGUGAAAUAUCAGCAAAAUAAGUCAUGUACAAUAAUACACAGUGCACAAUAGAUAAUACAUGCUACAUAAUGAGAUGAUACAUAACACUAAAUACAUAUAAAAAUACAUAAUACAAAAGACAAUACAUAAACACUACAUAAUCAAAUUCUUUUUUUCUUUUUUUUUAUGUAGGAAGGACACUGGCCAAGGGCAACAAAAAUAAGUGACACGUAGUGCAUAUCUACCUUCAGCUCAUACAAAACAACAACACUACCAGUACAAGAUACCUAAUUAAAUAAAGGAUACACACACCGGCUCCAAUAGAGGAUACCUAAUUAACACACCUGAUCCAAUAGAGGGUACCAAAUUAACACACCUGGUCUAAGUCAAAGCCUUACCACACCUGUACUGUCCUCAGGUGCAGCCAGCAAGGAGGCAAGUGGCUCAUUUGUCAGUUCUAACCAUGAGGAGCUGGUGUGCACCUACCACGCCCACAGCCACACCAAUGGAGGGCCAACGACACCCAAGUCUGGCCGGUGUGGGUGGGAGUGCAGCUGAGAGUGGUGGUGUGAUGAGUGUGGAGGCUUAAGGCUUAUAGGUGAUGUAAGAGAUUAGCUAAGAUGUGGCUAGUGCAAAACAGUGUUGAGGUGGUAGGUGGUGUGGCUGGGUGGUGUUGCCAGGGUAGGGGGGGAGGGGUGAUGGUGUGGCAGGGAGUGAUGGCAUGGUAAUGGAGUGCUGUGAUGGAGUGUUAAGCAAAAGUGCACUCAUGUUUAUUUAUUGACUAAAGGUGAUGCUGGGAGUGUGGGAGGAGGAUCCCUUAGGGAACAGUAAGAGAGAGAGAGAGAGAGAGAGAGAGAUGUAAAAUAAUUUGUCAUUUCCUGUGAUUUCUUGUGAUUUAUGACUGCAAAAUUUACAGCUAAGAAUUAUAAAAAAAAGGAAAAUCAUGAAUCUUGAGAAAUGCAUUGAAAAGGAAAAAAAUAAAGAUUACAGUUCAUUGCAGUGCAGAAGUUUUGAUGUACAAAUAUUUCUGAACAUUCAACAAUUCUCUUCACAUAUUUUCUUAAUAUUUUAAUGUGAUGACAUGUGACCCUAGCUGUGGUGCCUUGAAAGCAAUUAGUCAAUUCAUUCAUUCAUAAAUUGCAACCCAUCUUUUUAUACUGUGCCACUUUUCACUAUAUAGAGGACAGACAGCCAUCACCACCACACAUCUGCUCCUUUCCCCUGCAGGUGUGGUGACAAGUAGUGAGGUCACUACUGAAUCUGACACACCUGCUGAGCCUGACCUGGUGUCUUUCUGUGCUACCCUGGGCAACAACCGAGCCCUGCGAGUCCCUACCCUCUUCAAGCCAGACGGGGACUACCAGACUGUGGCUGACAUGGUGGGUGGCAGUCACUCCAUUACAGAGUCAACUACCAGUCACGAGAAAGUUUGGACGAGGCCAGAAGUGCGUCAUCCCACCGCAGGUCACGGGGACAGGAACUGCAGGCCAGGCAGGGUCACCGUCCCUCCCACGGCGACCCGGAUUAUAGCUAUGCUCACCCUGUGAAGAAGCAGUACCUUCCCCCACCCCUCCACUGUCCUCCACUGACAGCAACAGGUGUAUGAGUUAGUGAUAGUGAGGUCACUGACAGACAGACUCGCCAAAUUGUUCAUUAGUAAAAGUUCCAUGGCCACUAAGUUUGUAAUCUGCUUCUGUGUUUGUAUCUUUCCAGCCUUUUUAUUCAUUGAUGUACACUUUUGCCUUUCACUGCUUCCUCCUGUAAUCCAUUCUAUAUCUUUAUAUAUUUACAUGGAAAGAUAUGUUUGCAUUAUUUGGACAUUCUCUCUCUCUCUCUCUCUCUCUCUCUCUCUCUCUCUCUCUCUCUCUCUCUCUCUCUCUCUCUCUCUCUCUCUCUCUCUCUCUCUCUCUCUCUCUCUCUCUCUCUCUCUCUCUCUCUCUCUCUCUCUCUCUCUCUAAUAUUGAGGUUCAUCUCUUGUCCAUAACAAAAGGGCAUUUCUGUCUGGUUCCUCAGGUUGGUUGACUAACCCUAAAGCUGCAGGGGUUUUCACACAUUUCUCCAUUCCAUAUGUCUCUACUCCUUUGUGGAAAGAUGUGUGUUAUUUAGGAAGCUCUCUUCUGUCCAAGUUUCUUUUCAUCUUUAUCAUCAUGUGUCAAGUCAUCCAGUUCUGGCACUAUCUUAGUGGCUGUUCUUUGUAUUCUUUCAAAUCUCUACAUGAAACAUCACCGAAUUAAUUAAGCUUAGCAGAAAUUAUGUAAUGUGCCCUACUGAUGCUGGUGUGAAGGUGAGGUGUUUGUAGUGAGCCGUGUGAUGCCUUCCCCAGUGCUGAAUAUGGAGAGAGCAGCCAGGCGACACCAUACACUGGAGUUUUCUGAGGAGGAGUGCGACCACCCCUUCAUCAAGCAAGCAGGAGUGGAGCCUCUGGAGCAGCUGAUGGCUGACCUGGAGCUGGAGAAGAUGGUUCAGGAUGCCAGCAAGACAGCUCUUUGACACUUCCAGUAGUGGUAGAAUCCUCCCAUCACCACCCUCACUCCUCUGCCACUGCUGACCACAACACUGAGGCUGUAUUCUUCAGGACCUGAUUGUUGCUUGGACUUGAGGCUUCCCUGCUUGGGACUGGCAGUUCUGCAAAUGCUGUUAGUGACAGCAUCCGUAGGACAACAGUGUAGGUGGUGUCCUCUGGAGGUCCUUCACCUGCAUGGAGCUAAGUCCACCUGUUGUAAUACUUGAAUGCGUAAGUGCUCAUCUUGAAGAUUUUAAUCACUGCAGUGGUCACCAUCUCAGACCUGACUGCCACAGGUACUUACUGUACACACUGCUAUCUAUAAUCCAGUGCUUAGCAGGUUCUUGGUUAUGGUUAUCAACUAUCUGGAUAAAUUUUACACAGCACCAACAUUAAAUUACAACAUGUACACAAUAGCAAACUUUGGAGUUGUUUUAAGCAUUGCUACCAUCAGUCCAACCUAGCUAACCAACCUAACAACCUACCCUAACCUAACUCUUCCUCAACAAUGUAGAACAUAUAUUUAACCUCAACAGUGUAGAACAUGUUUAAAAUAAUUUUUUUUUCUAGAAGUUUGGGUCCCAAAGGGUGAGCAGAAAGAAACAAUUUUUAUCUCCCAUUAUGCAACAAAGUCAUUUAGGGAAUUUGGUCAUAUUACUUAAAGCAGUGUCCAAAACAUUAGUUAACUAAAUUCCAUAUGCAGUUUACAGUUUGGUCAAGAUAAAAUAAUAAGCAAAUAUGCUGCUAGUGGGCAAA
Long non-coding RNA from Scylla paramamosain (green mud crab), 6527 nucleotides. RefSeq lists it as uncharacterized. NCBI's taxonomy places the organism in Eukaryota, Metazoa, Arthropoda, Malacostraca, Decapoda, Portunidae. The transcript has 4 exons. The record is from RefSeq and is a predicted model, not a curated record.